Molecule: microRNA precursor, 85 nt
Organism: Pan paniscus (pygmy chimpanzee)
Lineage: Eukaryota; Metazoa; Chordata; Mammalia; Primates; Hominidae
Source: Ensembl
CUAUUUGAUUGGUGCAAAAGUAAUUACAGGUUUUGCCAUAAAAGCAAUGGCAAAACCUGUAAUUACUUUUGCACCAACCUAAUAU